CAAUACUGAUGCGAAGAGAUGUCGUACGUGUUCACGAACAGUUACUUGUUAUGUUUAGUCGUUGUGUUGUGAGGAAUCGAUGAUCGUUGAAUUAUCGUGAAUCGUUCCUGGUGUUCUUAGUAUCCCGGCAGCAUUGAAUUAUGCACUUUUAUAAGGAGAAGCUCCUGUCGCCCGGACAACUUAAACGCCUUAGUGAGCACAAAUACAGCUGCACAACCAACAGUCUUUUGGAUGGACUUCUUCAACCCUGGUGGAACUGGCUAGUUAGCAAAGUUCCACUUUGGCUUGCGCCCAAUUUAAUCACGGUCUUGGGGCUUGUCGUCAACAUCCUCACGACUUUAAUUCUUGUUUAUUAUAGCCCCGAUGCUAGGACCGAGGCACCAAGAUGGGCGUGUUUUCUAUGCGCGCUAGGUUUGUUCAUUUAUCAGAGUUUGGAUGCGAUAGAUGGUAAACAAGCUAGACGAACAGGAACUUCGACACCAUUAGGGGAAUUGUUCGAUCAUGGAUGCGAUUCCAUAUCGACAGUAUUUGUUGCCCUAUCAGCAUGUAUAGCAGUACAGUUAGGAUAUUAUCCAACAUGGAUGUUUUUCCAAUGUUUCUGCGCUAUGACACUUUUUUAUUGUGCUCAUUGGCAGACUUACGUUUCAGGAACAUUAAGGUUUGGCAAGGUGGACGUUACAGAAGCACAGUUUACCAUUAUAACCAUUCACCUGAUUUCUGCAAUCUUUGGACCUAAAGCAUGGAUGAUGGAGAUACCAUACAUAGAUGGUUUUAUGUUUAAGUAUUUAAUAGGAGUUAUGACAGUGAUUUGUUCACUGGCAAACUUAUAUUCCAUCUUUUCGGUGAUUUUCACCGGAGGAGUGGGCAAGAAUGGUUCAACUGUGGCUUUGCCAUAUACUGGCACAGAGAUCAAGGUGUUUCCGUUAUGGGCUGCUGUGGGCAUCGCUAUUUUACUUGCACAGAGCAGCAUAUCCGUCAUUCUUGCCGGUGGUGUCGGAAAAAAUGGCUCCACCGUCGCAGGAACAUCAGUUUUAUCUCCAAUUAUUCCAUUUAGUUUUGUGGUACUGCCAGCUUUUAUAAUUUAUAGAAAAAGUGCUGAGCACGUAUAUGAAAAUCAUCCUGCAUUGUACAUACUUGCAUUUGGAAUGGUUGCAGCUAAAGUUACCAAUCGAUUAGUGGUUGCACAUAUGACAAAAAAUGAAAUGCAGUAUUUAGACAGUUCGCUGAUUGGACCAGCAAUGCUGUUCCUGAAUCAGUAUUUCAAUUUCUUUAUCAAAGAAUAUUAUGUUCUUUGGUUGUGCUUUAUUUGGGUUACUCUGGAUUUACUCCGGUAUAGUUCUCAAAUUUGCCUUGAGAUCUGCGAUCACAUGAAGAUCAGACUAUUUAGGAUACCGAUAGGAGAUCAUCGAACAACCCAGGUUUCUAACACAGCUGAAAAAAAUGGUACUAACAGGUCCCAACGUAACAGAUUGCAAAAGAAACAUCACUAAGAUUUAUUUGUGAUAAUGAAUGUACUAUACGAUUCAUUUUAUCUAUAAAUGAAAGAGUUACAAUGUAAGAAGACAUAGAUAUUUGAUAAGUUCCGUUACUACAACUGUAUAUAAAAAUUUGAAUGGUACAGUUCAUUUGUUAUCACAUUAAUUUAUGAUUACUCCGUAUCUGAUUAGCAUUGAAUAUAAAUAAAAAGUCUCACCAAUAUGUUGGUUAAAAAUAUUAUUCACUGCUUGUCGUCGAUUACGAUUAUUCCGGUGAUAGAAAUGGAAAAUUUAUCAGGAAUCUAGUGAUCAAAAUUAUAGUUAAACGAAUAGAACGAUAGAGUACGCAGAACAAUAGACCUCACAAUGAAAGAAAUGAUACAUAAGUAUUAUUCGAGAAUUUGAAGAAAAAAGAUAUGACAUAAAUGUUAAGUAACUUUAUAUCCCAUUGUUAUAACUUUUAUAAUAAUUUAAUUAAAUCAUUGAAUGUGAAUGAAUUACUUAAUUUUUAUUUUGUUAAUAAUUAUAGUUCAAUGAUAUUAUAUUAGAAAUUCGACAUACAUUUCUUUGUGACUUUUGAACUACAAAGAAAAUUUCACACGAUGAAAAGCUCUAUAGAAGAUUAAGUUUUGCAUAUUAUCUUGAAAAGAAAUUAGAUUGCCAGUACUUUUGUAGUUAUUUAUCAGUUAGUAUACUAUAUUCGUGAUCUCAUAAUAUAACAAUCUAUUAACAAUAUGAAAUUUAGACAAAAAAUUAUUUUUUUUUUUCAGAUCUGUAGCUCUUAACUGACGUGUAUAUAGAUUCAUAAUACAGAUAUUCCAAUAUUUACAUAGUCAAUUAUAACAAAAAACUACUUAUAAAAAUAUUACCAAAGAUAAUUGCUUCGAGCUAAAGUGAUCCUAAUCUAGAAUGUCUAGACCUUUUUAUAAAAAGGUCUUAAAAUGUCUGUUACCUUUUUUUUUUCAACAAAAUUUCGAUUUAGGUUUAAUGAAGAUUUGUAAGGAAUUGAAGUUUCUAAAAGAAUAUUCUUUUUGUAUGAAGUUUUAAUUGAUAACAACUGAGAAAUUAUAAACAAAAAAAUGUUUAGUAUAGGAGGAAAAUCGUACUAUUUUCAUUUUUUAAUAAUUUUAGUUCAACUCAGUUGUGGCCUUAACAUGCGCUUAUGAUUGCAAUCACAUGAAAUGCGUUUUCAAAUCAGGAAUCUCAUUUUUAUGUGAAAAGAAUUAAAUUUUUAUUUAUUGUAAUCGAUGGUUUUUCACGCCAGGUUGGUCAGAAAACGCAUGUCAUUGUAAAAUUUGUUUACAAUUGUUUACAAGUACUAUAGAUUCUAUAGUUUCAUAGGGAAAAACUAUAUAGCUUCGAAAGUAUAAUACGCUUAUAAAGAAACAAUUCAAUCAAAAGCUGCAUACAAAUUUAAAUCGCGGUGUUAGAGUCAAAAAUUAUUUCAAGCGAGUAAUGUUAUUACUCGCUAGAAUUAACGAUACAGGUUGUCGAUAAAUUGUAUCGUAAUAAUCUACAUUUAUUUCAAGCAAAGCUUUUUCAUGGACAAAAUUUUGUUUGAAACGUAUUGGUUGUGAAAAAGAUCGCGCGUAGAAAAUUUAAAUUUGAAUAAGAGAGAAACAGAAUAAUAUUCGCUAAGUACUUUAUAAAUUUGAAUUAUUUCGUAGAAUUAUAUUACUUUAUUGUAGAAGAUUCUAUUAGACAUACACUAUUCCAGUUGUAUGGCUCUUAUUUAAGCAAGCCUUGAAUUUUUACGAAACAGUUAAGAUAUCAGAAUGACAAUAUUUCUAAGAAGCUUUUCUGCAAUAUUGCCAGAAAAUAAAUAUGUAUCUAAUAUACUAAUGUAUCGUACCUUGGUUUCUGUUCGUAAACUGUAAUAUACUUUUUCGAUAAACAAUUUUCCUAUCACGUGCUAUCUUUCAUUUACACGUUUUCGUUAGAAAAGUUUGUAACGAUGAGAAUCUUUGGAAUUACUUUCUCCUUUUCCUUUCUUCAGAUUUAAUCCAUGUUAAUCCUUUCAAGAUGAUUGCAAAGUUCGCAUGAUGGUGGAACAAGAACCUCUGUUAGACGAGGAUUAUCAUCACGGAUCUGAUACCACCCUCGACCUAUGAUGGAUACAAAAGUAUACAUCAGCGAAAAAUAAUUAUCUGAAGUUACAGGGUUGCGCAAAGAUCUCUGCAUUUACAAAUGUUUACUUUUACAUCUGUUUUCCUCAAUUUACAAGAAGUAGAAAGAGUGAAUUAUCAGAAACAGAAUAUUGUAUUUCAACUUCUUUAAACUUUUAUUGAAUCAUAUAUUGAAUGAUAGUAACAUAUAUUUUGAAGAUUUACUUCAAAGAGAAUUUCGCGUUACCCUGUGUAUCAUAGACUUUAGUUCUAUUGAUAACAGUGAUAGAUACGAGACUGUCCAAUGGUUUUCGAAUGAGAGAGGUAAAACAGUGUACAUCAUAGAAUAUUAGAGUGGAACUGCGAAGUACAACUACGGUAUCGCCGUUUGUAAGACGAAAAAUAAUAAUUAUUCUUAUAUAGCCUUGAAAAUCGUGAAUUAUACAAUUUCGUAAUCGAUAGUAUCUGGAUUAGCAAACCUUUAUAAAACAACGGAUAGAAUGCAAUUGUUCAGAGCGUAUAUACAGAUGCACUUCGACGAUUAUGUAAGAUACAAAUAAAACGAUCAAUUAUUUUUCCACGUGCAAUUUCAAAUAAAAACUUUUCGCUUUAACUCGGUACAAAUUUUAGUAUAACAGAAUACGUAUGAAUUUCUAUCAGUUAGAAUUGCACAAUGGUCAUAAAAUUUUUAUCAUGAGUAUGCAAUAUCGAAUUUUCGUCGUAGACUGAAUGAAAAUCUAAUUACUUUAUAGCAGAACUGUAAAUUCUUAAUUACAAUUACAAAACGAUUACUUGAUCAAGUAAUUGAAUAAUUGCCAUUACAAUUACUCUGUUGCAUGUAAUGGUAUUUCCAAUUACUUAAUUACUACCAGUAAUCUUAUGCAUUACUUAAUAAUUACUUAUAACGGCCCAGAAAGUAAUUAAAAGGCGUCUCAAAUCUAAAGUAGUCAAAAAUACCUAAAAGUAAUUAAAAAGUAAUUAUAACUACUUUUUUAAUUACUUUCAAGUAACUGCAGUGAUAUGGACAAUAAUUGUUAAAAGUAAUGAUUACUGUAUUUCAAUUAUUUGUAAUUACUUUGAAUUACUUUUGCUCAAAUCUAAAGUAGUUAAGUAUACCUAAAAGUAAUUAAAAGUAAUUAGAAGUCAGUAAUCAUUACUUUUAACAAUUACUGUCCAUGUAACUGCAAUUACUUGAAAGUAAUUAAAAAAGUAGUUAUAAUUACUUUUUAAUUACUUUUAGGUAUACUUAACUACUUUAGGUUUGAGACGCCUUUUAAUUACUAUCUGGACAGUUAUAAGUAAUUAUUAAAAAGUAAUUGAAUUACUCAGUAAUUAAGAAUAAGGUAUUGCAUAAUUACUAAAAAAAAAGUAAUCAACAAUUACUUAAAUAAUUACUUUCUACUUCCAAAGUAAUUGUUCCAAAUUGUAAUAAAUUACAAAAUAAUCAUUACUUUACAGCUCUGGUUUAUAGUUAUAUCAAAGAUGUUAAAGAGAUAGUAAUAGUUUUGUAUUAAUAUUUAUUGUAUCAAACUUGUAACAAUACGGUGAUAAUAAUAUUUUACUUAACGCUCGCGUACGAGUGCCUACAUUUUUAUCUACAAAA
Molecule: RNA transcript, 5183 nt
Organism: Hylaeus volcanicus
Lineage: Eukaryota; Metazoa; Arthropoda; Insecta; Hymenoptera; Colletidae
Gene: bbc
Gene name: cholinephosphotransferase 1-like
Exons: 10
Source: RefSeq, a predicted model, not a curated record